AAGCUGUGUGAUGCCUGAUUUGGUAAAGACCAUUCGUGAAAAUAUCUACUUCUAAAUUAAACAUAAAAAAUGAUAUGGAAGUAAAAAAGAAAUUAGUUACAUCUAUGAACCAUACUUAUCUGUCGCGAGAUCAUAAACUUCUACAUCAGCAAGCCCUCUGGCACAUUGUGAGGUGCGCCCCCCAGCAACAUAAACCUUGCCACAGACCACAGAACAAGCAAAGUGUGACCGCGGAGUUCGCAUACUUGCUGCUCUAGUCCAGCGUUUAGUAAACGGAUCAUACUGCACAACAUCACUAGUUAUGAAAGGCUUCUGAUUUGGAAAUAUUGGAUCACGUGGUGCAUAGGAACCCCCAAUCACCAGAAAUUUAUUACAGACUGUAACACAUGAAAAUCCGUAAUGUUGACCAGUAGAGCUGUUUCCAGAUAUAUUGGGAAGAGAAUGCCAUUUAUCAGCCUCAGGAUCGUAAGCAACCCACUGAUUCUUAGAACCUUCAGUCAGAACAAACAACCAGUCUCCAGACCAUCCCUCUCUAGCUUUGUAGUUGGAAUAAUCUGAGGAGCGUAACACAUCUCUCCAUCCUUUAGAGACAGUCUCUAGAAUCCCGUGAUAACCAUGGGACAAUUUUGCCAAACAUCUCAGAGCUAAAUCGUCAGGCAAUCCAGGAAUGAUUGCUUGUUUAUUUGUUUCCCUGACAUAAUGUAUGACCAGAUGAUAACCAAAGAUUUCAUACAAGAUACUAAGCGUCCCUUAUAUAUGCAGUAUGAUAGCAUGACCCAUUUGAUAUAUUAUCUGACAAUGAAAAUGUAAUGAAUCACCAAAAUAAUGUAUACCAUGAUGGUGCUAGUGCAUCGGGACAAAAACCUUAGCUUCUAUCAUUCCUAUUCAUCAUAUAUUUCUGAAUAAUGGUUUUGCUAGUAUUGAGGUUUUUAAAAGCAACAGGUGAAAAGGAUUAUUUCAAUAGUAAUUCUAAACAUAUACUCCUAUUACAUAGAUGUUUUAGUUAAGAGUGAUUAAAAAAUAAAUGAUUAUUCUAGUUUGAAUCACAAGCAGAUAAACAAAAUUCUUCAUAAUACUAGACAACAUCUAAGCUCUCUGUAACUAAGAGGAGAUAAUGAGAAUAAUAUUACAACUUCAAUGUACAGAUAAUGAUAUAUAAGAUAUAUCCUAGAAGGCUAGAACCAUUCCACACAAAGCAAAUUUCUAAGCUCCAUAUUGCAAGGUCUAGAAGUCCUACCGAUUAAGAAUUGAAUUCUGCCAACAUAAUUUCGUGAUUUUAUAAAUUUCAUCACCCUUUGUUUCGCUCAGAUGACAAGUAUAUUAUAAUAUUAAUUAAACAAUCAAAGGUAAAGGAUUGAAAAAAAAUUGAAGGCGGGAAAAUCAAUAUUCGUUUCUUUGCAUGGCAAUUCUGUCGCUUAGUGGAAAGUUACACCACCGACAAUGUAACGUUAUAUCUUUGAAAAGUAAAGUGACUUCAUGUUUUUAAUGCUUGGCGUAUAACCAAGCAAAUUUUAAUGCAGUUACUAAUUUAAUCCAAAGUCUUACAGUUAUGAUUAUAUAGUUUCUCUAUAUACUGUAAUAGCUCCUAUUAUGAUUUGCUAUUACUUCAAUCCAAAGUCUUCAUACUUACACAAAUUGUUUCUCUAUAAAAUGGCUACACUUAUGCUCCACUUGGUUGGAUGGAAUUAAAUUAGGUGGGCAUCUAAUGAAAUUUGUACUAUUUUUAAUAACUUUCUUUCCAUUUCCCUUCCAUCCACAAAGAUUUAUACUAGAGCUAGACUUCGCGAUAAUAGGGAUGACUACCUCAUUCCUACCUCCGUUCAUAAUAUUCAAAAUGCUCAUAAUAAUACUCUUUUGUCUAGCCUUCAUUUGUUUUCACAAUUUCUUUGCAUUUCUUCCGAUCAAACGUAGCAUUUAUNAAAUUUGCCUUGGUAAGACAAUCCUAAGCAAUCCAUCAGCGGGCCGGGCAUUGGUGGCAAAUCUUCCCACCUGCAUAUGAUUUAUCUUCUGUGUAAGCUACUUAAAUUAUCAACUUGAGCAAAUUAAGAAAAACACAGACCCGCCGUGAGAUCUGGACUCUUGACACAAAAAGUGAUCAGUAUAACCAGGGUAAGGUGUGCUUACACAGGGCCCACAACAGGUAAAACUAGCACUGUUACAUUUGACCUCUACUUUUAUUUCCUUAUAUAGCAUGAGUAAGACAUAUCGGGAGGACAGAGGUUGUAUACAUGAUAAUAAGGUUAAUUUGACAGCACAGGAAACAAGACAUAUUCAACUGAGAAAUAAGCAUGUUGUAAGCUCUUGUCAACAAAAGAAGAAGCUGAUGUUCAAGUCUUAAACAAAUUUCCGCAUAAGUUGACGAACAAAUAUAUUGGUAAAAAAUAUGCAAUAAAGACUCUAACUCAACCCAAGGGGACCAACCGAGUACCCUUGACCUUUUCUGUACAUAUAAAUGUUAUAUUAUGUUCAAAACAUGAAAUGUGGAUGAUUAAAAAUAUUCGCUAACCAAUUAAAAACAGGACAAGAUUUUAAGAUCCUUGCAUACAUAAUUUUUGACAUCACAGAAAUUGUACAACAGUUUCAGAGCAUGUAGGGAGGCAGUUCUCAUCAUUUAUACGCAUAAAAAUGUGACUUAAGAAUCAAGUACUAUUCUUAUAUAUUUUAUUGUUUGUGUCUCAUUUAUCAUAAUUUUUAUAUAUUUUUUAUUCGACUAUGCUCUGGCUCUGCCAGAACGAAAAUGUGCAUCUUGGGCAACCUAUUUCUAACUUCCCAAGGGCGAGUAGUUCUGUUGAGUGUUCUUCUGAGGAUAGUAACCAUUGAUACAGAAGUCAAUAUUACAGAAGUAAUGAUAUAUAGGGAAUGUAGAACUAUAAUAAUAUCAAUAAUCAAAUAUUUAUGCCAAAAAAUAUUAAUUUGAUAUAUUUCCAUGUUUGUCAUGAAGUAAAGCUGUGUGAUGCCUGAUUUGGUAAAGACCAUUCGUGAAAAUAUCUACUUCUAAAUUAAACAUAAAAAAUGAUAUGGAAGUAAAAAAGAAAUUAGUUACAUCUAUGAACCAUACUUAUCUGUCGCGAGAUCAUAAACUUCUACAUCAGCAAGCCCUCUGGCACAUUGUGAGGUGCGCCCCCCAGCAACAUAAACCUUGCCACAGACCACAGAACAAGCAAAGUGUGACCGCGGAGUUCGCAUACUUGCUGCUCUAGUCCAGCGUUUAGUAAACGGAUCAUACUGCACAACAUCACUAGUUAUGAAAGGCUUCUGAUUUG
Molecule: long non-coding RNA, 3263 nt
Filed under: Daucus carota (carrot)
Lineage: Eukaryota; Viridiplantae; Streptophyta; Magnoliopsida; Apiales; Apiaceae
Description: long non-coding RNA (DCAR_LNC005863)
Source: RNAcentral